GCAAAUCAAUAUAAAUUGAUUUAAUAAUUAUUUAUUAAUUUUUUUUUUGUUAUUAUAAUAUAUUAAAAAUAAUUAUAUAAAUAAUAGUUUUAGUAAUUUUUAAUGAAAAAAUAAUUUUAAUAAUAGUUUAUUAUGUAUUGUGAAAGAAAAUUGAAAUAAUUUGAAAAAUUGUUAUUAUAAAAGAAAAUUUAAUUUAUUGUACCUUGUGUAUCAGGGUUUAUCAAAUAAUUAAUAAUUAUUUCUUAAUCUCGAUUUUAUAAGAGUUAAUAAUUUAUGAAAGUUAAUGUAUCAAAAUUAUUUUUAAUAAAUUAUUAGGAAUGAAAUGUUAUUCGUUUAUAAAGGUAUCUAGUUUUUUAGAAAUAAAUUUAAUUUACAAAUUUUUAAUUUCUUUUAUUUUAUUAAUUAAAAAAUUUAUUAAUUUGAAUAUUUUAGCUUUAAAAUAAAAUUUUAUAAAUUAAUAAUUUUUAUUUAAAAUAUAUGCAUAGAAUUAGCAAUUAUUUAUAAGUUUGUUAUAAAUUAUUUUAUUAUUUAUAUUAUUUAUUUGAUUUUAAAUUUUUAUAAAAAUAUUUUUAAAUUUUUUUUUUUUAAAAAAUAAUAAUGUUAAAAUUAGUAUAUUAUAAUUUAUGCAUAAUUAAUUUAGUUUGAUAAGUUUAUAUAAAGAACUCGGCAAAUAUUAUUCUCGCCUGUUUAACAAAAACAUGUCUUUUUGAGUUAUUUUAAAAGUCUGACCUGCCCAAUGAAUAAAUUUUAAUGGCCGCAGUAUUUUAACUGUGCAAAGGUAGCAUAAUCAUUAGUCUUUUAAUUGAAGGCUGGUAUGAAUGGUUGGACGAAGUAUAAUCCGUUUCAUAUAAAUUUAUUUUAGAAUUUUAUAUUUUAGUUAAAAAGCUAAAAUAUAAUUAAAAGACGAGAAGACCCUAUAAAUCUUUAUAUUUAUUAUUAUUUAAAUUUUUUAGACUUAUUUUAUUUUUAUAAUAUAAAAUAUUUUGUUGGGGUGAUAUUAAAAUUUAAUAAACUUUUAAUUUUUUUUUUCAUUAAUUUAUGAUUUAUUGAUCCAUUAAUAAUGAUUAUAAGAUUAAGUUACUUUAGGGAUAACAGCGUAAUUUUUUUGGAGAGUUCAUAUCGAUAAAAAAGUUUGCGACCUCGAUGUUGGAUUAAGAUAUAUUUUUAGGUGUAGCUGCUUAAAUAUUAAGUCUGUUCGACUUU
This 1203-nucleotide ribosomal RNA is filed under the name Tephritidae sp. HYH-2008. Its description in RNAcentral is "partial 16S ribosomal RNA". The record is from RNAcentral. Lineage: Eukaryota; Metazoa; Arthropoda; Insecta; Diptera; Tephritidae.